CAGCGUUUUAUUCCUGUUUCAGCGUUUUAUCCCCAUUUCAGCGUUUUACCCCCAUUUCAGCGUUUUAUCCCCAUUUCAGCGUUUUAUUCCCAUUUCAGCGUUUUACCCCCAUUUCAGCGUUUUACCCCUAUUUCAGCGUUUUAUUCCUGUUUCAGCGUUUUAUCCCCAUUUCAGCGUUUUACCCCCAUUUCAGCGUUUUAUCCCCAUUUCAGCGUUUUAUUCCCAUUUCAGCG
Paramuricea clavata is the source of this 233-nucleotide non-coding RNA. The record is from the annotation of a GenBank genome assembly. Lineage: Eukaryota; Metazoa; Cnidaria; Anthozoa; Malacalcyonacea; Plexauridae.